AUUGAACGCUGGCGGCAUGCCUUACACAUGCAAGUCGAACGGUAACAGGUCUUCGGAUGCUGACGAGUGGCGAACGGGUGAGUAAUACAUCGGAACGUGCCCGAUCGUGGGGGAUAACGCAGCGAAAGCUGUGCUAAUACCGCAUACGAUCUACGGAUGAAAGCGGGGGAUCGCAAGACCUCGCGCGGACGGAGCGGCCGAUGGCAGAUUAGGUAGUUGGUGGGAUAAAAGCUUACCAAGCCGACGAUCUGUAGCUGGUCUGAGAGGACGACCAGCCACACUGGGACUGAGACACGGCCCAGACUCCUACGGGAGGCAGCAGUGGGGAAUUUUGGGCAAUGGGGGCAACCCUGACCCAGCGACGCCGCGUGAGGGAGACGGCCUUCGGUUGUAACCUCUUUGUACGGGAAGAAGGACGUGACGGUACCGUGCGAAUAAGUCCCGGCGUAACUACGUG
This 457-nucleotide ribosomal RNA is filed under the name uncultured bacterium. RNAcentral's name for it is "bacterial SSU rRNA". It matches the Rfam family "Bacterial small subunit ribosomal RNA", at positions 29 to 507 of the family's 1533-position model. The record is from RNAcentral.